Molecule: ribosomal RNA, 253 nt
Filed under: uncultured bacterium
Lineage: Bacteria
Description: partial 16S ribosomal RNA
Rfam family: Bacterial small subunit ribosomal RNA
Source: RNAcentral
UACGUAGGGUGCGAGCGUUGUCCGGAAUUAUUGGGCGUAAAGAGCUUGUAGGCGGUCUGUCGCGUCUGCUGUGAAAAUCCGGGGCUCAACCCCGGACUUGCAGUGGGUACGGGCAGACUAGAGUGUGGUAGGGGAGACUGGAAUUCCUGGUGUAGCGGUGAAAUGCGUAGAUAUCUGGAGGAACACCGGUGGCGAAGGCGGCAUCCUGGACCAAUACUGACGCUGAGGAGCGAAAGCCAGGGGAGCAAACGGG